Molecule: ribosomal RNA, 503 nt
Filed under: Chriolepis zebra
Lineage: Eukaryota; Metazoa; Chordata; Actinopteri; Gobiiformes; Gobiidae
Description: partial 12S ribosomal RNA
Rfam family: Bacterial small subunit ribosomal RNA
Source: RNAcentral
GCCUAGCCCUAAACACAAAUGAACAUCUACCCCACCACUCGCCAGGGAACUACGAGCCCCAGCUUAAAACCCAAAGGACUUGGCGGUGCUUUAGACCCCCUAGAGGAGCCUGUUCUAGAAUCGAUGAUCCCCGUUAAACCUCACCCUCCCUUGUUUAACCAGCCUAUAUACCGCCGUCGUCAUCUUACCCUGUGAAGGUCAAAUAGUAAGAAAAAUCGGCAAACCCCAAUACGUCAGGUCAAGGUGUAGCGCACGGGAGGGGAAGAAAUGGGCUACAUUUACUGACCCAGUAAAUACGGAUCUUGCACUGAAAUAAGCAUUUGAAGGAGGAUUUAGCAGUAAGGGGGAAACAGAGUGCCUCCCUGAAGCCGGCCCUAAAGCGCGCACACACCGCCCGUCACUCUCCCCAAGGCCCACCAAAAAAUAAUUAAUAACCAGCCAGCCACAAAGGGGAGGCAAGUCGUAACAUGGUAAGUGUAGCGGAAGCUGCACUUGGAAAACUC